Molecule: small RNA, 278 nt
Filed under: Arabidopsis thaliana (thale cress)
Lineage: Eukaryota; Viridiplantae; Streptophyta; Magnoliopsida; Brassicales; Brassicaceae
Description: ATSL053420
Source: RNAcentral
UUCAACAAGAGAAUAUACCUAGUAUUUUGUUUUCUCUAUAAAAGCACAUCGAUCCCAUCAUAAAAAUUAUCAUUUACAAAGCAAUAUUUACUAGAAUUUUUUCAAAACGAAAUGACGUUCAAUCACUUAGCUUAAGCAUCCUUGUCGUUAGCCAAGCUAGAGUCACCAGUACCCAUGUCCGAGUAUCUGAGCCAUCUAAAAAAAUGUCACUCGAAACAUUUCCUCCUCCGGCCGGUUAUAACGCUCCUGAACAAGUAAUUUUCAAUUUUUCUUUAUAA